GACCUGGCGGCAGGCCUAACACAUGCAAGUCGAGCGGUAACAGAUUGAUAGCUUGCUAUCAAUGCUGACGAGCGGCGGACGGGUGAGUAAUGCCUGGGAAUAUGCCCUGAUGUGGGGGAUAACUAUUGGAAACGAUAGCUAAUACCGCAUAAUCUCUUCGGAGCAAAGAGGGGGACCUUCGGGCCUCUCGCGUCAGGAUUAGCCCAGGUGGGAUUAGCUUGUUGGUGGGGUAAUGGCUCACCAAGGCAACGAUCCCUAGCUGGUCUGAGAGGAUGAUCAGCCACACUGGAACUGAGACACGGUCCAGACUCCUACGGGAGGCAGCAGUGGGGAAUAUUGCACAAUGGGGGAAACCCUGAUGCAGCCAUGCCGCGUGUAUGAAGAAGGCCUUCGGGUUGUAAAGUACUUUCAGUUGUGAGGAAGGCAGUAAAGUUAAUAGCUUUGCUGUUUGACGUUAGCAACAGAAGAAGCACCGGCUAACUCCGUGCCAGCAGCCGCGGUAAUACGGAGGGUGCGAGCGUUAAUCGGAAUUACUGGGCGUAAAGCGCAUGCAGGUGGUUUGUUAAGCAAGAUGUGAAAGCCCGGGGCUCAACCUCGGAACAGCAUUUUGAACUGGCAGACUAGAGUACUGUA
Molecule: ribosomal RNA, 633 nt
Filed under: Photobacterium leiognathi
Lineage: Bacteria; Pseudomonadati; Pseudomonadota; Gammaproteobacteria; Vibrionales; Vibrionaceae
Description: SSU rRNA
Rfam family: Bacterial small subunit ribosomal RNA
Source: RNAcentral